Molecule: ribosomal RNA, 1171 nt
Filed under: Clostridioides difficile
Lineage: Bacteria; Bacillati; Bacillota; Clostridia; Peptostreptococcales; Peptostreptococcaceae
Description: bacterial LSU rRNA
Rfam family: Bacterial large subunit ribosomal RNA
Source: RNAcentral
CUACCCAUGAGCAGGAUGAAGCGAAAGUAAAAUUUCGUGGAGGUCCGAACCCACGAGCGUUGAAAAGCUCGGGGAUGACUUGUGGGUAGCGGUGAAAUUCCAAUCGAGCCCGGAGAUAGCUGGUUCUCCCCGAAAUAGCUUUAGGGCUAGCCUCAAGGUGAGAGAUACGGAGGUAGAGCACUGAAUGUCCUAGGGGGUAUUGCACCUACCGAAGACUAUCAAACUCCGAAUGCCGUCAUCUUAUACUUGGGAGUCAGACUGUGGGUGAUAAGAUUCAUAGUCGAAAGGGCAACAGCCCAGAUCGUCAGCUAAGGUCCCUAAAUGUAAGUUAAGUGGUAAAGGAUGUGGGAUUGCACAGACAACCAGGAUGUUGGCUUAGAAGCAGCCACUCAUUCAAAGAGUGCGUAAUAGCUCACUGGUCGAGUGAUCCUGCGCCGAAGAUUUCCGGGGCUAAAACUUACUACCGAAGCUACGGCAUCAGUAAUGAUGGGUAGGGGAGCUUCCCAUACGGGUUGAAGCAUGACCGUAAGGACAUGUGGACAGUAUGGGAGUGAGAAUGUUGGCAUGAGUAGCGAGAUGUGGGUGAGAAUCCCACAGGCCGUAAACCCAAGGUUUCCAGGGGAAGGUUCGUCCGCCCUGGGUUAGUCGGGACCUAAGCUGAGGCCGAAAGGCGUAGGUGAUGGACAACAGGUUGAUAUUCCUGUACUACCGAUAACCAUUUGAGAGAAGGGAUGACACAGUAGGAUAAGCUAAGCACACUGUUGGUUAUGUGUGCCCAAGCAUUGAGGCAGUCAAAGUAGGCAAAUCCGCUUUGAUAAUGCUGGGAUGUGAUGGGGAGCGAAAUUUAGUAGCGAAGUAGCUGAUUUCACACUGUCAAGAAAAGUCUCUAUCGAGGUUAAAGGUACCCGUACCGCAAACCGACACAGGUGGGUGAGGAGAGUAUCCUAAGGCCAGCGAGAGAACUGUUGUUAAGGAACUCGGCAAAAUGACCCCGUAACUUAGGGAUAAGGGGUGCCACCAUCAGGUGGCCGCAGAGAAUAGGCCCAAGCGACUGUUUACCAAAAACAUAGGUUUCUGCUAAGUCGCAAGACGAUGUAUAGGAGCUGACGCCUGCCCGGUGCUGGAAGGUUAAGGGGAUCUGUUAGAGCAAUCGAAGCAGUGAACUUAAGCC